GCGGAUAUGGUUUAGUGGUAAAACGCGUCCUUGCCAAGGACGAGUCGGGAGUUCGAUUCUCCCUAUCCGCACCA
Molecule: transfer RNA, 74 nt
Filed under: bacterium
Lineage: Bacteria
Also listed under: 5 other names
Description: tRNA-Gly
Rfam family: tRNA
About the family: Transfer RNA (tRNA) molecules are approximately 80 nucleotides in length. Their secondary structure includes four short double-helical elements and three loops (D, anti-codon, and T loops).
Source: RNAcentral